CCUACGGGUGGCAGCAGUGGGGAAUAUUGCACAAUGGGCGAAAGCCUGAUGCAGCAACGCCGCGUGAAGGAAGACGGUUUUCGGAUUGUAAACUUCUAUCAAUAGGGAAGAAAGAAAAGACGGUACCUGACUAAGAAGCCCCGGCUAACUACGUGCCAGCAGCCGCGGUAAUACGUAGGGGGCAAGCGUUAUCCGGAUUUACUGGGUGUAAAGGGAGCGUAGACGGCAAGGCAAGCCAGAAGUGAAAGGGCAGGGCUCAACCCUGUACAUGCUUUUGGAACUGUGGUGCUAGAGUGCAGGAGAGGUAAGUGGAAUUCCUAGUGUAGCGGUGAAAUGCGUAGAUAUUAGGAGGAACACCAGUGGCGAAGGCGGCUUACUGGACUGUAACUGACGUUGAGGCUCGAAAGCGUGGGGAGCAAACAGGAUUAGAUACCCCUGUAGUC
RNAcentral lists this ribosomal RNA (443 nucleotides) under uncultured bacterium. RNAcentral's name for it is "partial 16S ribosomal RNA". It matches the Rfam family "Bacterial small subunit ribosomal RNA", at positions 338 to 795 of the family's 1533-position model. The record is from RNAcentral.